CUGUGAGGGUGGCUUUGUGAGGAUGGCUUUGUGUGGCUGCACAUUGCCCUUGGCCAAGCCCCGCUGCCAGGAGAGGCAGCUCGGCUGCCAAACCUCCUGAACCCAAGUUACCUGAGCAAGCAGCCCUAUCCCCUCGCCUGCUUCUCACUGCCUCGCCUGCCUUGGGCCUGCCCGACCCAGGGGGUCACAUGCCUUGUUCCCCAUCAGUGGAGACCAGGGACAAGAAGACAGUUCUGUGGGAAGAGCCAGGAGGACCAUUUGGGAAAAUACAGGUUCCAGGUGUGUCUCCAGACCUUGAGAGUUGGUGUCUCCUGGGAAGAGGCCCUGAUGAGAUCUGGGGAGAUUCGGAUCUGAUGAGAUUCAGGAAGCCCUGGCCUCUCCGUACUUGAGGAGACGGGACACACAGGACAAGCUGCAGGCUGGUGAGCAGGUUCACCUUCUAUUUUGAAGACCCGCUUCUUCCUCAGGUACCUGAUCUUGAAAACGACCUCCCCUUUCAGACGGUUGAGCCCAUAGAACAGGAGUGAGAAGAUGGAAGGGCGAGGGGGCUGGGAUGAUGAAAACUUGCGCCUGCAGCCACCAUUCAUUACAGAGCGCCGGGGGCCAGCUGCAGAACUGUAGACUCCUCAUACAUCAUCGUGUUGAGUCUUCAAAACAAACCUAUGAGGCUGGAGUGCAGCAGCGCGAUCUCGGCUCACUGCAACUUCCACCUCCUGGUUUCAAGCAAUUCUCCCGCCUCAGCCUCCCGAGUAGCUGGGAUUACAAGCACCCGCCACCAUGCCCGGCUAAUUUUUAUAUUUUUAGCAGAGGCGGGAUUUCUCCAUGUAGCCCAGGCCGGUCUCGAACUCCUGACCUCAAGUGAUCCACCCACCUCAGCCUCCCAAAGUGCUGGGAUUACAGGUGUGAGCCACCAUGCCCCGCCAGCCAUCAGAGUUUUAUAGCAAGAAUUUUUACCUUUGUCCUUAGUGCAAUGGGAAAUCCUUGAAACGCUAUUAUUGCCUUCCUCUGCAAGGAAAGGUUAUUUUGGUGAGCAGUGGAUAGAGGAAAUGCAGAGGGAGCCACUAAAGGGUUCUGGUGAGAUCUGGAGCCCUGCUGGGAUAAUCUGACCAGAGAAAGCAAAGAUUCCAGAGAGCUAGGCACACUUGCCCUACCUCCAGCUGCACACAGCUGGUUCCAGCUUUGUCCUGACCUUCAGUCUGGCAUACAGGGUAGACCCACUGGUACCUGGUACCUCACUCUGGGGGUGAGGUGGCCACCCACCUAGGUCUGGGUCCUGUAGCAGUUUGGCAGCAACAUCUGGGUGAUAAGAGAAGGCGAUUUGACCUACUCCCAGGGACAAGAAGCUUUGACUCUUCAAGAUCAUAAAGUCUUCCCUCCUGGCCUUGGGUCCUCCUGUUGCGGGAGAGGUGAGGUGGGGUGAGGGUCCUCCGGGAGGGCAGGCUUGGCAGAGCCCAGCACCAUCUCAGCAGACACUGCUCUUCUCCUACUCUCAGCACCUCCAAGGCAGUGAGUGGCUUUCUCUUGUCUAGAGGACAAAAUCCGUUCCUCACCUGGACACAAUGAACCUGUCUGUGGGAUUUAGGGAGCAUCAAGGAGGGAAUUUAGUUUCCGCAGACUUCAAGGAAGACUUUCUGGAGGAGGUGAUGCCUGAGAGCUAUCCAGGAGAGAAGAGUGAAAAAAUGUUAAGCAGUGGAAAAACAUGAACCAAACUGUGGCUGCAUCUUCCCAUAGGGCAACAGGGACUUAGCGCGUGCAAUCAAGGAUCUCCAGAUGGGGAUAACCCAGGUGUGCCCAACCUAAUCUCAGUGUCCUUGGAAGAGGGAUGCAGAAGGAGUCAGAAUCAGAGAAGAAGGUGACACGAUGAAGGAAUCCGAAAUUAGAGUGAUGCUCUUUGAAGAUGGAGGAAGGGACCACAAGCUGAGAAAUAGAGGUGGCCACUAGACACUGAAAAAGGCAAGGAAGUGGAUUCUCCCCUGGAGCCUCCAGAAGGAACCAGCUCUGCCGACACCUUGACAUUAGCCCAUUGAGACUGAUUUAAGGGCUGCUGGCCUCCAGAAUUGUAAGAGAAUAAACGUGUGUUGUUUAAGGCCCUUGGUUAGUAGCGAUUUGCUACAGCAGCUGCAGAAACCUAAUAAGUAUAGGUUCCACCUAGAGACGCAGAACUAGCCAGCGGCCGAUCCUGCUCCGGGACCCUGCAGGCCCCAGCUCUAUGGAAUCCUGUCGCACACGGGAUGGACGUGGGCUAGAGGCGGAGGAAGGGGAGGAAGUGAAGAUCUUCAGACUAAGAUGGAUGAAGCUGAAUUCAGAUCUCAGCUCCAAGGUGAAUGAGCAAACAGCACAGAAAAAGAAACAGCAGUAUAUGUGGAAGAAAGCAAGAAAAAUCAACUGGCCUGGAACCUAAGACUUGUCCAAAGAUGUCACAGAGAGUAAAAUGAGAAAAAUCCAGUAGCCCGUGCCCAGAGCAGUUCCUCGUACCCAGCAGAAGGCUAACAAGCCCUGAGAUGAAUGAUGCUCUUCCCAAGGAAGGCAGAGGAGGCGACAGUCCAUUUGCGUUCUCUCCUCUGCAAGUACAGGAUCUCGUUUGAUUCUCAAAACCACCCUAGAGGAGACAGGAGGCACCUGAGGCCCAGAGACGUGAAGCCACCUGUCCAAGGCCAUACAGCAGAUAACUUAUUCUGGAGGAAGACACCUGCCAUGCCGUGAGGACAGUCAAGCAGUUCUGUGGAGAGAUCCAUGUGGUGAGAAACAGGGGCCUCCUGUCAACAGGAAGAACAACCUGGCAGGCCUGUCUUGGAUUCAGAGCCUCCAGCCCCAGUCGAGCCUUCAGAUAACUGCACCCUUGGCUGUCAUCUCAACUGCAAUCUCACGACAGACCCUGAGCUGGAACUACUCUGUUUACCAAUGCCUGGCCCACAGAAAGACUAUGAGAUAAAACAAGUAUAUUGUUUUUAGAAGAUAUGUUUUGGAGUAAUUUAUUAUGCUACAAUAGAUAAUACAGAAUUUGGUGAUUUUAUGAUUCUCAACUCCUGGCCAAAGCAAAGCACACAACAAGUCUCAAAGAAAAGUCUCACAAGUGGAAUUGAAAGUACAAAGCUGGCCAGACAAGCUUGUGCAGACAUGUAUGUGGUGGAGUUGAAAAUCACACACUACGACUCACACAAGUGAGUAAAACCUGCGUCUUUCUUAAUUUUUCUUGUACUCUUCUCAUCUAGAUCUAAUGAGAUACUUCCUGCUGUUGACAGGCAAUAAAUGAAUGAACGACAA
RNAcentral lists this long non-coding RNA (3264 nucleotides) under Homo sapiens (human). Its description in RNAcentral is "HSALNT0302052". Lineage: Eukaryota; Metazoa; Chordata; Mammalia; Primates; Hominidae. The record is from RNAcentral.